Molecule: ribosomal RNA, 492 nt
Filed under: uncultured bacterium
Lineage: Bacteria
Description: partial 16S ribosomal RNA
Rfam family: Bacterial small subunit ribosomal RNA
Source: RNAcentral
AGUGAACGCUGGCGGUAGGCCUAACACAUGCAAGUCGAACGGCAGCACAGUAAGAGCUUGCUCUUACGGGUGGCGAGUGGCGGACGGGUGAGGAAUACAUCGGAAUCUACUUUUUCGUGGGGGAUAACGUAGGGAAACUUACGCUAAUACCGCAUACGACCUACGGGUGAAAGCAGGGGAUCUUCGGACCUUGCGCGAUUGAAUGAGCCGAUGUCGGAUUAGCUAGUUGGCGGGGUAAAGGCCCACCAAGGCGACGAUCCGUAGCUGGUCUGAGAGGAUGAUCACCCACCUGGGAAAUGAAACACGCCCCAGACUCCUAGGGGAGGCAGCAGUGGGGAAUAUUGCACAAGGGGCGCAAGCCUGACCCAGCAAUCCCGCGUGGGUGAAGAAGCCCUUCGGUUUGUAAAGCCCUUUUGUUGGGAAAGAAAAGCAGCAGUUUAACCCCCCGCUGUUCUGACGGUACCAAAAAAAAAAGCCCCGGCUAACUUCGUG